CACGCCGUAAACGAUGUCAACUAGCCGUUGGAAGCCUUGAGCUUUUAGUGGCGCAGCUAACGCAUUAAGUUGACCGCCUGGGGAGUACGGCCGCAAGGUUAAAACUCAAAUGAAUUGACGGGGGCCCGCACAAGCGGUGGAGCAAGUGGUUUAAUUCGAAGCAACGCGAAGAACCUUACCAGGCCUUGACAUCCAAUGAACUUUCCAGAGAUGGAUUGGUGCCUUCGGGAACAUUGAGACAGGUGCUGCAUGGCUGUCGUCAGCUCGUGUCGUGAGAUGUUGGGUUAAGUCCCGUAACGAGCGCAACCCUUGUCCUUAGUUACCAGCACGUAAUGGUGGGCACUCUAAGGAGACUGCCGGUGACAAACCGGAGGAAGGUGGGGAU
This 385-nucleotide ribosomal RNA is filed under the name uncultured bacterium. RNAcentral's name for it is "bacterial SSU rRNA". It matches the Rfam family "Bacterial small subunit ribosomal RNA", at positions 796 to 1180 of the family's 1533-position model. The record is from RNAcentral.